RNAcentral lists this long non-coding RNA (6625 nucleotides) under Vitis vinifera (wine grape). Its description in RNAcentral is "long non-coding RNA (VVIN_LNC001030)". The record is from RNAcentral. Lineage: Eukaryota; Viridiplantae; Streptophyta; Magnoliopsida; Vitales; Vitaceae.
UUCCUUUAGCCACAUAUUCUCAAACCUAAAAGGGGAAGACCCCUUCCUCGUUCCUCCACAAUCCAGCAGAAUUGGGCAGUGGUCAGAAACAAUUCUAGGUAAAAGACUUUGAAUUGCCCCACUGAAAUAGCAUUCCCAAUCCUCUGAAACUAUAAAUCUGUCCAGCCUUGACUGAGUCUGAUUGUUCAACCCACCCCUCCACGUGAAAGACCCCCCUUGCAAAGGGAAAUCCCUUAAUUCCAAAUCCUUAAUGAUCUCCGAAAAUCUUCUCAUUGCUGCCGACAGUCUUGAGAUCCUUUUCCUUUCUCCCAAAAAUCUAAUAACAUUAAAAUCACCCCCUAAACACCACGGGUCCUGCCACAAUCCCCUGAUUGUCCCUAAUUCCUCCCAGAAAUCCUCCCUCAACCUCCCAAUAGCAGGGCCAUACACCCCUGUAAAGACCCAACAGAAACCAUCCUCCACAUUUUUAAAUCGGCAAGAAACCGAAAAAUUCCCAAUUUCCAUUUCCAACAGCUUUAGAACUCUAGUAUCCCAAAAAACUAACACCCCCCCUGCCAUACCCCAAGAAUCAAGAGCUCCCCACUCCAAUGAUCUUCCCACCCCCAAGGACCGAACCAGACUAGACGACAUUCUUUGGAUUUUGGUCUCCUGCAAACAAACCAAAUCCGCUUUCUGAGUCUUGAUUAGAGAUUUGAUGAGCCUUUGUUUAUCUCUAUCAUUUGCCCCUCUCACGUUCCAGGAGAUAAUUCUUAACUUCAUUUACCCUCAGAGACUGACCCCCCCACUCUCUCUAAAUAGAGCUCUUCCAUGCCCCGAACUUUUAAAAUUAAUGGAGCACUCCAACCUUUUAAGUUCCUUUAUAGACUUUGAGGUUUCAACCUUGACCCUUUUAGCCCCAUACCUUUGGUUCUUCUGUUCUUUCCUCAUGAUCCAUUUCUUGAGCAUAUUUAAAAUUUCCUUUUCACAUCCCGUGGUUGGCAUGCCCAGAAAAUCACUAAACUGAGCAAGACAAGAGGAUUUCCAUUCCUCAACUGACUCCGUUCCACCCACAAUCUGCCUCAAAGAGUUUCUUUCAUCAAUACUCGUCUCUCCAACCAAAACCAUGGCCAUUUCCUCCCCGGAACAGGCUGCCUCAUCCCUUCCGUCAGCCAAUACCAUGUUCAGGGGGCUAAUGUCCCCAUCCACUCCAACCAUUUCCGUCACUGAUCCACAGCCGCGUCUUCGAGACCCAUUCGCCGCUCUUUUCCGACAGGAAAGAGAAGAAGAAGAGAAGGCCCGCACCCCCCGAGACCCAUUCGCCGCUCUUUUCGGACAAGAAAUAGAAGAAGAAGAGAAGGCCCGCACCCCCCGAGACACCAAAGGAGAGGGAGAAGAGGAAUACCUUGACGCUUCAGCCUGGAGAACUUCAUCGGCGCCUGAGUUCCAAGCUUCCAGCGGCUCAAACCACUCCAGCGGGACAGUCGCUGCUGCGCUAUCGUCCCCCGCGAUGAGCCCUAGCGGGUUCUCCACCCCCAUGCUGCCCCCCUCACUUAAAAGAGAAGGGCCCCCGAAAUGGGCCCGGCACAAUCCUCCCUUCACUUCAAACACAGGCCCAGCUCCCCUCUUAUCCUGUUGACUCUCAACUGGGCUUUCCCCCACCGGCCCGCUUACCCCCUUAGAGUCCCCUGUCAUCUCCAAACAGGCCCUCCUGCCACCGCCUCCAAAAACGUCCUCGCCUACAACUACCUUUUGGAGAUGGCUGUCCAAUCCUUCACCUAAACAGCCUCUCUUCCCUCCAGAGCUUGACACGUCUUCUCUACCAGUCUGCUCCUGGCCAAGGUCUUUCUCCACUCCCUUGCUCGCGCGUGGAUCACCACCAUCGUCACCUCUAACCUUCGACUCAGGCGACCCUUCACUGUAACUUCUCGGAACAACCAUUGAAAAUUUCGGGAGGACUUCCCACCACAACUGGAUUGAGUAGCACAUAGACCCGGUCACUAGCUACAAGGAGUCGGGAAGUCUUCUCCCGCUCGAUCUCACUAGGAUCCUAGCCCACUGCAUUUGGACCGAAUUCUCCGAACCUUCAUCCACUUCUACGAAUCCCCCACAGCAGUCCCCGAUUUUAAUGAGGACUUCACGGCUCCACAAAUGCAAAGGGAGACCCAAUACUCUCACCCACGACUCCUUGUAAGCCUCCUCCUUUACCAAGCACCCCGUCUCAUGAUGCCAUCUUUCCAAACUGAUGAGUCUCUCCUUGAAUCUUCUAGAUCCUCUCAUCAACACCCUUUCUACCUCCAAGACAUCCUCAAACUCAAAAAGGAUUAAAGACCCCCCAAAAAUAUGCACCUGCAUGCCAAAUCUCAACUGCCAAGUGCUCCUAGCCCACAACUCCAACACCUGAACCUCUGAAACUAACAAAGGUCCCUCCUCAAACUUCCCAACCAAACACCUCCUAAGCUUCUCUUCUCUGCCUUGCACAACUCCUUCUCCAAUCUGCAACCAAAUAGUCUCCUCCUCCAAACAUUCAUUCUUUUUUACUACACUCGCAUACAACAUCCUCUUGCUUCCAUUCUUCCCACUUUCAGCCUUCCGGCUGUUCCCAAACUCAGCCUGUGGCUCCACCUUUUUCUCAGAAAAAGGAACCACCCCGAGCGCCCUUAAAUUCUCAGCCAAUAUGAACCAUCCCCCAUGGAUUCCUUCUCCUUCUGGGAACACCAAAGAGAAGCUCUUUGUUUCUACCGUGACCACCUUGCAGAAGAUGAACCUUCCAGCCCCAUUCUCCCGGCAUUCCAGCCUAAAAAACCUUCCAUUCUCCUUCCACCCUUUGCUCCACCUCGGCAACUCAACAUCUCUGCAACAAGCUUCCACUCCUGCCAGAAGGCAGCUUAGACUGAGCUCCCCAAAUCUGACCCACCUGGAGUAACCUCUUCCACGCUCCACUAUGACCCCUCUCAAUCUCCCUCCAAGCCCCUCAAUAGAGAUCUCAAAGGACUUGGACUCCAUUGCAAACCACCGUUUUCCUUCUUCCCUCAUCUCCUCUCUAUACAGUUUAUAUGCUUUGAUUACCUUUCACUUUUCUAAAUGAAAGCACUUUUGUGACUUUCUUAAGUCAGUAUUGGUACAAAAAUGGUACAUCAAAGCGACUACAUUGGAGUGAGAAAGAAAUCACGUCUCUUGAAGUGAAGAUAGGAUGCAUAGGCAAUGCCAAAGAGUACUUUUGACUUCAAUUCAUCAAUUAAAGAGUACUUUUAUUAUAAAACCAUGGAACAUAUUAAAAGUAUCUAUGAUCUAUAUAAGUACAUUUCUAAUUGUAGGAUGGUGAUAGUGAUAAACUAUUUGGAUACAACGUCUCCUAAUAACACAUGUUUUGGAGCUUUAGUUUUGAGAUUAGUGCAAUCUAAAUAAUUAAUAUGAACAUAUUAGACACGCCUGGACCAUUUAAUUUUCAAAUCCUCCAAAAUAAUCUUCAGCAUAGUAGUUUACAAACUCCUUGGACCAUUGCUCGAAAUUUUGCUUCUACACUGGACCUUGCCACCAAACUUGUUUCUUGCUUUUCCAUGUCACCAGACCACUAAAAAAGGUGCAAUACCCAAUAGUUGAUCUUCUAUCAACUACAAAUCCAACAUAAUUUGCAUCUGUGUAUGCUUUAAGUACUAGUCGUGAAUUUCGUUUAAAUAGGAUGCCCUUUCCUAGAGACCCCUUAAGGCCCUGUAGUACUCGGUUAGCAAUUUAUAGAUGAACCUUUUUUGGACUAUGCAUGAAUUGGCUAAUCACACUCGUAACAUAUACUAUAUCUGGUCUUGUGUAAGAAAGAUAAAUGAGUCUUCCUACCAGACAUUGAUACAUCUCUCUAUUUACUACAGUAUCUUCAACCUUGUGAAGCUUAUGAUUAGGAUCUAUUGGUGUGCUUGUUGGUUUACAUCUCUCUAGAUAGUCCAUGCCAUAUGUCCGAGUGUAUCCUUUAGUUAUCAGUUUUACCUUGUACCUCUCUAAGGUCCCUUUUGCCCUAUACUUGGCAGUAUAUAUCCACUUACAUCCCAUUGGUUUUUUCCUUGCAGACAAAUCUACCAUCUCCCAAGUUUUAUUCUUUUCCAAGACCUCUAUUUUUGCAUUCAUGGCUUGUCUUCAAUUUUCAUUAGAUAAAACCUUAGAUAGAGUGAUAGGAAUAUGAAUAUUUAUCUAACUUGUGAGAAAACUCUUAUGGGAUGGAAACAACUUUUUGAAUGACAUAACAUGAGAAAGUGGAUACAAAGGGGGUUUAGUGCGUUCCCUUGUUCUUUUCUUGAUGGCAAUAGGGAGAUUUUGGUCUAUAGAUUUUUUAGACUGAAGUUUUGACUUGGUUUGUGAGGAAGGAUGAGAAACUGUUUCCUCAUUUCCAGAAGCCAGUUCAAAUUCUUGAACUUGUAUACGUUUAGGGAUUGUAACUUCUUCCUUGAGUACACCUUGCUAGUCAUUCGAUCUUUAGGAGCAGGCUCAAUUGGUGGCGACUCGGGUUCAGAGAAGUAGGGUGCGGAUGUUGGACCAAAGACUGUAAGAGGGUUAAUGAGAAAAGGGAUCAAUGAGAUAGGAAUCCUUAUCCUUGUCAUCCUUGAUCGAAUUCUCCCCCUCAAGACAAGGAGCGGGAAAGUAUGACUCACUCUCGUUGAAAGUAACAUUUGUUAAGACAAAUUUUUUUUUUUGGAUGGUGGAUGGUAACGCUUAUACCCCUUGUGAGUUGAGGAAUAUCCCACAAAAAUACAUUUGAUUGCUCUUGGGUCCAAUUUUCCCUUGUUUAGACUGUGAACAUGCACAAAUAACACACCCAAAUAUCUUAGGAAUGAGAUGGUUUGUGGUUCUCAUAUUAGGAUAAAACGAUGAAGUAUGUCCAUGGGACUUUUGAAACCAAAGACUUUGGAGGGUAACUGGUUUAUGAAAUGUGUGGCUGUUAGGAUGACUUCCCCCUAAUAAAAUUUAGGUACAUGCUUUUGAAAUAGAAAGGCUUGUGUUACAUCAAGAAGGUGACCAUUUUUCCUCUUAGCAACUUCAUUUUGUUGUGUAGUGUUGACUCAUGAUGAUUCCUGAAUUAUUCCUUCAUGUUGAAAGUAUAGAGUUAGGACUUGAUUGAAAUAAUCUCUGGCAUUAUUGGAUCGAAACCAAUAGACUCAAGAAAGUGAUAGGGAAAGUGGUCUCCACUGAUUAGAAUGCAUUUGUAAUGGGCAGGCAGAUCCUUGAUGCCUCUUUAAUUGCAAAUGAGGUAAUUGAUGCAUGGCAAAAAAGGGAAGAGAAAGGUCUCAUCUGUAAGCUGGAUAUAGAGAAAGCCUACGAUAGUUUAAAUUGGCAGUUUUUGAUGAAAGUCAUGAGAAAAAUGGGGUUCGGAUCAAAGUGGUUGGGUUGGAUGUGGAGUUGCAUAUCCACAGCCAAAUUUUCGGUGUUGGUGAAUGGAGUGCCAGUCGGUUUCUUCCCAAGUUCUAAGGGGUUGAGGCAAGGAGAUCCCCUUUCUCCUUACCUCUUUGUGAUGGGAAUGGAAGUGUUGAGCAAUCUUAUUAGGAGGGCUGUUGAAGGGGGAUUUUUGUCAGGGUGUAGGAUCCGAGGAGGAGGAAGACAACCGGUGCAUAUAUCCCAUCUGUUAUUUGCUGAUGAUACUAUAGUUUUUUGUGAGGCUAGGAAGGAGCAUCUAACUUAUUUGAGUUGGAUUUUGUUUUGGUUUGAAGCCGCGUCAGGGUUAAGGAUCAAUUUGGAUAAAAGUGAAAUAAUCCCAGUUGGCGAGGUGGAUGAGAUGGAGGAGUUGGCAGUGGAAUUGGGCUGCAAGGUGGGUUCUAUGCCUUCUGUGUAUUUGGGGAUGCCCUUGGGGGCUCCUAACAAGAAUACCUCCGUGUGGGAUGGGGUGGAAGAGAAGAUGAGGAGAAGACUUGCGCAUUGGAAACGCCAAUAUAUUUCCAAAGGUGGGAGACUUAUUCUCAUAAAGAGCAUGAUGGUUAGUAUGUCAUUGUAUCAAAUGUCUCUUUUUCGUAUGCCCAAGUCGGUUGCGCGAAGGUUAGAAAAAUUGCAAAGGGAUUUUCUUUGGGGAGGAGGAAACUUGGAAAGGAAAGUGCACCUUGUUAAUUGGGAGGUUGUUUGUACGGAGAAGGGAAAGGGGGGGCUUGGCUUAAGGAAGCUAGUUCCGUUGAACAAAGCCUUGUUGGGUAAAUGGAUAUGGAGGUUUGCUUGUGAAAAGGAAAAUCUGUGGAAGCAAGUGCUUUUGGCGAAAUAUGGGCAAGAGGGUUUUGGUUGGAUGACCAAAAAGGCUAAUGGGACGUUUGGAGUAGGGGUUUGGAAGGAGAUUUUGAAGGAAAAAGAUUGGUGUUGGGAAAAUAUGGCUUUUACUAUGGGGAAUGGUACCAAAAUCAGAUUUUGGAAUGAUCUUUGGUGCGGUUGUACAGUGCUGUCUCAAAGGUUUCCUCACCUUUAUGGGAUGGCUGCUCAUAGAAAUGGCACAGUAGAAGAAAUGUGGGAUCAGAAUGUCGGCCAAGGAGAUUGAGAUUUAAGGUUUGUGAGGGGUUUCAAUGAUUGGGAGUUGGAUAUGGUAGGUAAUUUGCUUCAUAUUUUGAGGGGAUACAAACCUACCUUAGAAGAGGAUGCAGUUUUUUGGAAAGGGGGAAGAAACGGGCAGUUUAAAGUUAAAGAAGUC